RNAcentral lists this ribosomal RNA (589 nucleotides) under Pseudomonas parafulva. RNAcentral describes it as "bacterial SSU rRNA". It matches the Rfam family "Bacterial small subunit ribosomal RNA", at positions 86 to 671 of the family's 1533-position model. The record is from RNAcentral. Lineage: Bacteria; Pseudomonadati; Pseudomonadota; Gammaproteobacteria; Pseudomonadales; Pseudomonadaceae.
CUGGAUUCAGCGGCGGACGGGUGAGUAAUGCCUAGGAAUCUGCCUGGUAGUGGGGGACAACGUUUCGAAAGGAACGCUAAUACCGCAUACGUCCUACGGGAGAAAGCAGGGGACCUUCGGGCCUUGCGCUAUCAGAUGAGCCUAGGUCGGAUUAGCUAGUUGGUGAGGUAAUGGCUCACCAAGGCGACGAUCCGUAACUGGUCUGAGAGGAUGAUCAGUCACACUGGAACUGAGACACGGUCCAGACUCCUACGGGAGGCAGCAGUGGGGAAUAUUGGACAAUGGGCGAAAGCCUGAUCCAGCCAUGCCGCGUGUGUGAAGAAGGUCUUCGGAUUGUAAAGCACUUUAAGUUGGGAGGAAGGGUUGUAGAUUAAUACUCUGCAAUUUUGACGUUACCGACAGAAUAAGCACCGGCUAACUCUGUGCCAGCAGCCGCGGUAAUACAGAGGGUGCAAGCGUUAAUCGGAAUUACUGGGCGUAAAGCGCGCGUAGGUGGUUUGUUAAGUUGGAUGUGAAAUCCCCGGGCUCAACCUGGGAACUGCAUCCAAAACUGGCAAGCUAGAGUAUGGUAGAGGGUGGUGGAAUUUCC